UCUACGGGACGCAGCAGUAGGGAAUAUUGCACAAUGGGCGGAAGCCUGAUGCAGCAACGCCGCGUGCACGAUGAAGGCCUUCGGAUCGUAAAGUGCUUUUCUGGGAGAUGAGAAAGGACAGUAUCCCAGGAAUAAGUCUCGGCUAACUACGUGCCAGCAGCCGCGGUAAAACGUAGGAGGCAAGCGUUAUCCGGAUUCACUGGGCGUAAAGCGUGUGCAGGCGGUUCGGUAAGUUGGGCGUGAAAUCUCCCGGCUUAACUGGGAGAGGUCGUUCAAUACUACCGGACUAGAGAGCAGUAGAGGAAGAUGGAAUUCCCGGUGUAGUGGUGAAAUGCGUAGAUAUCGGGAGGAACACCAGUGGCGAAGGCGAUCUUCUGGACUGCUUCUGACGCUCAUACACGAAAGCUAGGGUAGUAAACGGGAUUAGAGACCCCGGUAAUCCUAGCUGUAAACGAUGUGAACUUGGCGUCGGUGGCUUAAACACUAUCGGUGCCGAAGCAAACGCGAUAAGUUCACCGCCUGGGGACUACGAUCGCAAGAUUAAAACUCAAAGGAAUUGACGG
Molecule: ribosomal RNA, 563 nt
Filed under: uncultured bacterium
Lineage: Bacteria
Description: bacterial SSU rRNA
Rfam family: Bacterial small subunit ribosomal RNA
Source: RNAcentral